GACGAACGCUGGCGGCGUGCUUGACACAUGCAAGUCGAACGGUAAGGCCCUUCGGGGUACACGAGUGGCGAACGGGUGAGUAACACGUGGGUGAUCUGCCCUGCACUUCGGGAUAAGCCUGGGAAACUGGGUCUAAUACCGGAUAGGACCACUGCCUGCAUGGGUGGUGGUGGAAAGCUUCUGCGGUGUGGGAUGGGCCCGCGGCCUAUCAGCUUGUUGGUGGGGUGAUGGCCUACCAAGGCGACGACGGGUAGCCGGCCUGAGAGGGUGACCGGCCACACUGGGACUGAGAUACGGCCCAGACUCCUACGGGAGGCAGCAGUGGGGAAUAUUGCACAAUGGGCGCAAGCCUGAUGCAGCGACGCCGCGUGAGGGAUGACGGCCUACGGGUUGUAAACCUCUUUCAGCACCGACGAAGCGCAAGUGACGGUAGGUGCAGAAGAAGGACCGGCCAACUACGUGCCAGCCGCCGCCGUAA
This 478-nucleotide ribosomal RNA is filed under the name uncultured bacterium. RNAcentral describes it as "partial 16S ribosomal RNA". It matches the Rfam family "Bacterial small subunit ribosomal RNA", at positions 28 to 523 of the family's 1533-position model. The record is from RNAcentral.